GGCGACUCCAAGUGGACAAAGCUGUGGCAACUGCACGUAGCUUUACUGGAAGAGAAGAGUCCCUUGUCGAGGCUGAGUGCCAGGAGGUUUUAACAACUAAUUGACAUCCGGGAUCCUGGUUCCAGAAAGCUUCAAAGGCAGAGCUAACACUUGAGCAUUCGGGUAAGAGACACACCAUUCAGCAUUGCAGACCGCUCGAUCCAAUCUCUCCUUCACCAAAGCAUCUCCAACUCUGUUAUUGGACCACGUGUAAGCACAACCAUGAGAAGGUAAAUCCAACAACCGGCAAUCAUUGAGGAGCUCACGAAAAGAGUCAAGGCGGUGCAUGAAGACAAGUAAUUCUCAUAGACCUGGC
Molecule: long non-coding RNA, 355 nt
Organism: Eucalyptus grandis
Lineage: Eukaryota; Viridiplantae; Streptophyta; Magnoliopsida; Myrtales; Myrtaceae
Exons: 3
Source: RefSeq, a predicted model, not a curated record